CCUACGUGGGGCAGCAGUGAGGAAUAUUGUUCAAUGGGCGGAAGCCUGAACCAGCCAAGUAGCGUGCGGGAUGAAUGCCCUACGGGUCGUACACCGCUUUUGCACGGGGAUAACGCCCUCCACUUGUGGCUGUCUGCAGGUACCGUGCGAAUAAGGGCCGGCUAAUUCCGUGCCAGCCGCCGCGGUAAUACGGAAGGCCCGAGCGUUCUCCGGAUUCAUUGGGCUUAAAGGGAGCGUAGGCGGUCGUUCAAGUCCGCUGUAAAAUCUCGCGGCUCAAGCGCGCCCCGCAGUUGACACUGGAAGCCGUGAGUUCAGAGCAGGCAGGCGGAAGUCGUGGUGUAGCGGUGAAAUGAAUAGA
This 358-nucleotide ribosomal RNA is filed under the name uncultured bacterium. Its description in RNAcentral is "partial 16S ribosomal RNA". It matches the Rfam family "Bacterial small subunit ribosomal RNA", at positions 338 to 694 of the family's 1533-position model. The record is from RNAcentral.